GUGGUGGAGUGCGACGGUCGCGGCCCGCCGUUUGGCGGGUCGAGGAAAGUCCGAGCUCCAUAGGGCAGACUGCCAGGUAACGCCUGGGCGCCGGAAGGCGACGGAAAGGGCCACAGAGAACAGACCGCCUGCCGCAGGGCAGGUAAGGGUGAAACGGUGGGGUAAGAGCCCACCGCGCGACUGGUGACAGUCGCGGCACGGCAACCCCCAGUCGGAGCAAGGCCAAAUAGGCGGCGAGGCCCGGCCCGGGCCGCCUAAGCCGCGGGUAGGCCGCACGAGAUGGCGGGUGACCGUCAUCCCAGAUUGAUGACCGUCCGGCGCCGCGCGCCGAACAGAACUCGGCUUACGGCUCCACCACCCCU
Molecule: RNase P RNA, 362 nt
Filed under: Gemmatimonadales bacterium
Lineage: Bacteria; Pseudomonadati; Gemmatimonadota; Gemmatimonadia; Gemmatimonadales
Description: RNase P RNA component class A
Rfam family: Bacterial RNase P class A
About the family: Ribonuclease P (RNase P) is a ubiquitous endoribonuclease, found in archaea, bacteria and eukarya as well as chloroplasts and mitochondria. Its best characterised activity is the generation of mature 5'-ends of tRNAs by cleaving the 5'-leader elements of precursor-tRNAs.
Source: RNAcentral